Molecule: ribosomal RNA, 375 nt
Filed under: uncultured organism
Description: partial 16S ribosomal RNA
Rfam family: Bacterial small subunit ribosomal RNA
Source: RNAcentral
GGAGGGGUGCUAGCGUUGUUCGGAAUUACUGGGCGUAAAGAGCGUGUAGGGCGGCCUUUCAAGUCUGGGUGUGAAAGCCCGGGGGCUCAACCCCGGAAGAGCAUUGGAUACUGUUUGGCUAGAGUACUGGAGAGGAGGGUGGAAUUCCUGGUGUAGCGGUGAAAUGCGUAGAUAUCAGGAGGAACACCAGUGGCGAAGGCGGCCCUCUGGACGGAUACUGACGCUGAGACGCGAAAGCGUGGGGAGCAAACAGGAUUAGAUACCCUGGUAGUCCACGCCGUAAACGAUGGGCACUAGGCGUUCGGGGUAUUGACCCCUCGAGUGCCGCAGCUAACGCAUUAAGUGCCCCGCCUGGGGACUACGGCCGCAAGGCUA